This 391-nucleotide ribosomal RNA is filed under the name Rhizosolenia sp. RNAcentral's name for it is "partial small subunit ribosomal RNA". It matches the Rfam family "Eukaryotic small subunit ribosomal RNA", at positions 582 to 975 of the family's 1831-position model. Lineage: Eukaryota; Bacillariophyta; Coscinodiscophyceae; Rhizosoleniales; Rhizosoleniaceae. The record is from RNAcentral.
AUUCCAGCUCCAAUAGUGUAUAUUAAAGUUGUUGCAGUUAAAAAGCUCGUAGUUGGAUUUCUGGCGGGAGCGAUCGGUCCUUCACUCAGUGUUGGAACCUGAUUGUCUCCUGCCAUCCAUGGAGAAAACUUAUCUGGCAUUAAGUUGUCGGGUAGGCAAUCUCCAUCUUUUACUGUGAAAAAAUUAGAGUGUUCAAAGCAGGCUUAUGCCGUUGAAUAUAUUAGCAUGGAAUAAUAAGAUAGGACUAUGGUACUAUUUUGUUGGUUUGUGCACCAUGGUAAUGAUUAAUAGGGAUAGUUGGGGGUAUUCAUAUUUAAUUGUCAGAGGUGAAAUUCUUGGAUUUAUGAAAGAUGGACUUAUGCGAAAGCAUUUACCAAGGAUGUUUUCAUCA